Molecule: ribosomal RNA, 497 nt
Filed under: uncultured bacterium
Lineage: Bacteria
Description: partial 16S ribosomal RNA
Rfam family: Bacterial small subunit ribosomal RNA
Source: RNAcentral
GAUGAACGCUGGCGGCGUGCCUAACACAUGCAAGUCGAGCGAAAAGACGAGGAGCUUGCUUUCCUGACGUUAGCGGCGGGCGGGUGAGUAACAUGUGGAUAACACACCUAUAAGACUGGGGUAACUUAGGGAAAACGGAGCCAAUAACGGCAAAUAUAUUCAACCGCAUGGUUCAGUAGCGAAAGACGGCUUUGCUGUGACUUAUAGAUGGAUCCGCGCCGCAUUAGCUAGUUGGUAGGGUAACGGCUUACCAAGGCGACGAUGCGUAGCCGACCUGAGAGGAUGAUCGGCCACACUGGAACUGAGACACGGUCCAGACUCCUACGGGAGGCAGCAGUGGGGAAUCUUCCGCAAUGGGCGAAAGCCUGAUGGAGCAACGCCGCGUGUGUGAUGAAGGUCUUCGGGUCGUAAAGCUCUUUUAUUGGGGAGGAACGAAUGUGUGAUUAUCUCUGCACUUCUUGACGUUACCCGAACAAGAAGCCCCGGCUAACUACGUG